This 33-nucleotide non-coding RNA is filed under the name unclassified sequences. The record is from RNAcentral.
CGCUGGCGAAGGAGGAUGCCUUAAUUCCCAGUG